Erinaceus europaeus (western European hedgehog) is the source of this 561-nucleotide long non-coding RNA. RefSeq lists it as uncharacterized. Lineage: Eukaryota; Metazoa; Chordata; Mammalia; Eulipotyphla; Erinaceidae. The record is from RefSeq and is a predicted model, not a curated record. The transcript has 3 exons.
GCUCCUUAUUUCUCCUGACAAAACUGCAUUUUUCCUUUAAGGAAAAAAAAAUUCAUUAAUGCCUUAACAACUGCAAGACUCACCCUUUGGCCUCACAUCUUAUUCUCUCAAAUCUACUCCAGGUUCACAUAAGUUAAUAAAGACCCCAGACGUUGAUAUGAUAAAGAAGAGAGAUGGCACUCAAGAUCACCUAAAUCUUCCAUCCUGACAUCCACCAGGUUCCAGAUGCUGACAUGAUGACAACCGGACCUCCCUGGGCAGAUGACCCUACCAAUGUGUCCUGGAGCCCUGCUUCCAAAAAGCCCUGGCCCACUAGGGAAAGAGGAAGACAGGCUGGGAGUAUGGAUUGACCUGUCAAUGCCCAUGUUCACUGGGGAAGCAAUUACAGAAGCCAGACCUUCCACCUUCUGCACCCCAUAGUGACCCUGGGUCCAUACUCCCAGAGGGAUAAAGAAUAGGAAAGCUAUCAGGGGAGGGGAUGGGAUAUAGAGUUCUGGUUGUGGGAAUUGUGUAGUAUUGUACCAUUCUUAUCCUAUGGUUUUUGUCAGUGUUUCUUUUUUU